Molecule: non-coding RNA, 103 nt
Organism: Phyllosticta citrichinensis
Lineage: Eukaryota; Fungi; Ascomycota; Dothideomycetes; Botryosphaeriales; Phyllostictaceae
Source: the annotation of a GenBank genome assembly
GCCCGCUUGGCUUAGUGGUACAGCGUCUCACUCGUAAGCACGCCUGCGUCGCAGAGUCUCUACGGUCAUGAGAAGAUCCUCGGUUCGAUUCCGAGAGUGGGCA